RNAcentral lists this non-coding RNA (193 nucleotides) under Bacteroidota bacterium. Lineage: Bacteria; Pseudomonadati; Bacteroidota. The record is from RNAcentral.
UGAUAUAUAAAGAAUUCAUAUACCUUUGUUCCGUUCAAAGUUAAGGGAACUCCGUGAGAACCGGAGACAGUACCCGCUGCUGUGAUGCUUACCCGAACGGGUUGUCCGCAAUCAAGAACCACUGCCUGAAAAGGCGGGAAGGUGACGGACAUAAAAGCUAAGUCAGAAGACCUGCUUGGAAUAUUAUUAUUAA